CUGAAAAGAGAGCUUAUUGUACCUCACGCACAGCAGCAGGUUUAACAGAAAAGUAGACAUGUUUAUAGUCCCAGAUUUACAGCACACCUUAUAAACACCUUAUUACUUAGAAUCCAGUCUGCUGUCCCAGAAACUAAGAAUGUGACUUUGUUAAGCAGUAGGAUUUGUUGACAUAAAUGUCUUGACUAAGUUUGCCAUUGUGGUUAACCAAAACGCAUUUACUCCUGGGAAAGUAAACACAAGCAAACAAAAUGCCUCUUAUACUACAAUACGGUUGCAAAGUCCAAGAUCAAGGGACUGGAAUCUUAUGAGGGCCUUCUGCUAUGAGAGUCACAUGGCAGAAGGGCAAGAGAAGACAAGAGAGAAUGCAAGAGGAGGAAAAACUCAUCCUUUUAUGAUGGCACUAAUUCCACUCAUGAGGGUGUAGCCCUAAUGGCCUCAUCACCUCUUAAAGGACCUACUUCUUACUUCUGUUACACUGACAAAUUGCAACAUGAGUUUUGGAAAGGACAAACAUUCAAACCAUAGAAUUAUGCUCCUGCCCACCCCCACCUAAACUCAUGUCCUCACACACAAAAUACAUUCGUUGCUUCCCAGUA
Long non-coding RNA from Homo sapiens (human), 599 nucleotides. Lineage: Eukaryota; Metazoa; Chordata; Mammalia; Primates; Hominidae. The record is from Ensembl.